GAUGAACGCUGGCGGCGUGCCUAAUACAUGCGAGUCGAGCGAACAGACGAGGAGCUUGCUCCUCUGACGUUAGCGGCGGACGGGUGAGUAACACGUGGAUAACCUACCUAUAAGACUGGGAUAACUUCGGGAAACCGGAGCUAAUACCGGAUAAUAUAUUGAACCGCAUGGUUCAAUAGUGAAAGACGGUUUUGCUGUCACUUAUAGAUGGAUCCGCGCCGCAUUAGCUAGUUGGUAAGGUAACGGCUUACCAAGGCAACGAUGCGUAGCCGACCUGAGAGGGUGGUCGGCCACACGAGAACUGAGACACGGUCCAGACUCCUACGGGAGGCAGCAGUAGGGAAUCUUCCGCAAUGGGCGAAAGCCUGACGGAGCAACGCCGCGUGAGUGAUGAAGGUCUUCGGAUCGUAAAACUCUGUUAUUAGGGAAGAACAAAUGUGUAAGUAACUAUGCACGUCUUGACGGUACCUAAUCAGAAAGCCACGGCUAACUACGUG
This 497-nucleotide ribosomal RNA is filed under the name uncultured bacterium. Its description in RNAcentral is "partial 16S ribosomal RNA". It matches the Rfam family "Bacterial small subunit ribosomal RNA", at positions 28 to 507 of the family's 1533-position model. The record is from RNAcentral.